This 112-nucleotide ribosomal RNA is filed under the name Clonostachys sp. CMW 7063. Its description in RNAcentral is "partial 28S ribosomal RNA". The record is from RNAcentral. Lineage: Eukaryota; Fungi; Ascomycota; Sordariomycetes; Hypocreales; Bionectriaceae.
AAAUCUAGUGGCGGACCCGUCGUGGCCUCCUCUGCGAAGUAGUGAUAUUCCGCAUCGGAGAGCGACGAGCCCCUGCCGUUAAACCCCCAACUUUCCAAGGUUGACCUCAGAU